GAUGAAGAACGUAGCGAAAUGCGAUACGUAAUGUGAAUUGCAAAUUCAGUGAAUCAUCGAGUCUUUGAACGCACAUUGCGCCCCCUGGUAUUCCGGGGGGCAUGCCUGUCCGAGCGUCAUUGCUGCCCUCAAGCACGGCUUGUGUGUUGGGCCCCGUCCUCCGAUCCCGGGGGACGGGCCCGAAAGGCAGCGGCGGCACCGCGUCCGGUCCUCGAGCGUAUGGGGCUUUGUCACCCGCUCUGUAGGCCCGGCCGGCGCUUGCCGAUCAACCCAAAUUUUUUAUCCAGGUUGACCUCGGAUCAGGUAGGGAUACCCGCUGAACUUAAGCAUAUCAAUAAGCGAGGA
This 345-nucleotide unclassified non-coding RNA is filed under the name soil metagenome. RNAcentral describes it as "partial contains 5.8S ribosomal RNA, internal transcribed spacer 2, and large subunit ribosomal RNA". The stretch from base 1 to 119 matches the Rfam family "5.8S ribosomal RNA", at positions 35 to 154 of the family's 154-position model. The record is from RNAcentral.